RNAcentral lists this ribosomal RNA (369 nucleotides) under uncultured eukaryote. Its description in RNAcentral is "partial 18S ribosomal RNA". It matches the Rfam family "Eukaryotic small subunit ribosomal RNA", at positions 592 to 976 of the family's 1831-position model. The record is from RNAcentral.
UAAUAGCGUAUAUUAAAGUUGUUGCAGUUAAAAAGCUCGUAGUCGGAUGUCGGGCUCGGGCAGGCUGUCGGCUUCGGUCGGACGGCAGGCUCGGGUCUUUCUGCCUGAGGAUCCAUCUCAUUCACUUGGGGUGGGGACGCAGGCCGUUUACUUUGAAAAAAUUAGAGUGUUCAAAGCAGGCCUACGCUUGAAUACAUUAGCAUGGAAUAAUGGAAUAGGACUUUGGUGCUAUUUUGUUGGUUUAUGGGACCGAAGUAAUGAUUAACAGGGACAGUUGGGGCCGUUUAUAUUUCGUUGUCAGAGGUGAAAUUCUUGGAUUUACGAAAGAUAAACUUCUGCGAAAGCAUUCGGCAAGGAUGUUUUCAUCGA